RNAcentral lists this ribosomal RNA (433 nucleotides) under uncultured bacterium. RNAcentral describes it as "partial 16S ribosomal RNA". It matches the Rfam family "Bacterial small subunit ribosomal RNA", at positions 29 to 507 of the family's 1533-position model. The record is from RNAcentral.
AACGAACGCUGGCGGCAUGCCUAACACAUGCCAGUCGAACGAGACCUUCGGGUCUAGUGGCGCACGGGUGCGUAACGCGUGGGAACCUGCCCUUAGGUUCGGAAUAACUCCCCGAAAGGGGUGCUAAUACCGGAUAAUGUCUUCGGACCAAAGAUUUAUCGCCUUUGGAUGGUCCCGCGUUGGAUUAGCUAGUUGGUAGGGUAAAAGCCUACCAAGGCGACGAUCCAUAGCUGGUUUGAGAGGAUGAUCAGCCACACUGGGACUGAGACACGGCCCAGACUCCUGCGGGAGGCAGCAGUGGGGAAUAUUGGACAAUGGGCGAAAGGAUGAUCCAGCAAUGCCGCGUGAGUGAUGAAGGCCUGAGGGUUGUAAAGCUCUUUUACCCGGGAUGAUAAUGACAGUACCGGAAGAAUAAGCUCCGGCUAACUCCGUG